UACAGAGGUCUCAAGCGUUGUUCGGAUUCAUUGGGCGUAAAGGGUGCGUAGGCGGCGAGGUAAGUCGGAUGUGAAAUCCCGGGGCUCAACCCCGGAACUGCAUUCGAUACUGCUUUGCUUGAGUACUGGAGAGGAGACUGGAAUUUACGGUGUAGCAGUGAAAUGCGUAGAUAUCGUAAGGAAGACCAGUGGCGAAGGCGAGUCUCUGGACAGUUCCUGACACUGAGGCACGAAGGCCAGGGGAGCAAACGGG
RNAcentral lists this ribosomal RNA (253 nucleotides) under uncultured bacterium. Its description in RNAcentral is "partial 16S ribosomal RNA". It matches the Rfam family "Bacterial small subunit ribosomal RNA", at positions 524 to 776 of the family's 1533-position model. The record is from RNAcentral.